Non-coding RNA from Cyanistes caeruleus (blue tit), 10569 nucleotides. The record is from RefSeq and is a predicted model, not a curated record. Lineage: Eukaryota; Metazoa; Chordata; Aves; Passeriformes; Paridae.
AGCGCGGCACAAUGAACCCGCGCCCUGCCGCUUAACCCGCACAGCCGGCUUUCGGGCUGCAGAUUAUAAUAAUGUCUCGGUUUGCCUCUCAGCUCAGCUGAAAGCCCCGUGAAAGGCUUAGAAAUCUGGAGUAGCGUGCGGCUUCGUUUGUAUUCAUGGACCUGGGGCAGUGUCACGAGCAUCUCAAACUUACCUGUACAGAACAAAAAGCUUGUAAGGAGAAGUAACACAAGCAAAAAGUUCUCCAGGGCCCGUGCCCUUUGCAUGUGCUGGGGUGUUCGAAGGAUGCUGCUUGAGCCAUGACUGAAGGGCAGGCAGGUCGUGGUUUGUUUUCCCGGCAAGUGCAGCCAUGGAAGUUCUGUCCCAGUGAAGCCAUACCCUGUUCUGCAGAGGGGUUUAUGUUUUCAGACGUACAGUAUAUGUUGGGACAGAAGGUGCAGUCAGCUUUUGAAAUUUUACCUCAGAAGUCUGCACUGAUUUUUACCUGAUAAUUAAUGAUUGUAAAAGCAAAGGCAGAUAGAGUAGAGGGACAAUAGAUUUUUUUUUUCAUCCAUUUUUAGUAGUCAGGCUUAUAGGCAUGUAUAGGGAUGAACUUUGUUCAUGCUGGAUUUUGGAUGUCUUGGAUGGGGAAAGUUUAUGACCUAACAAAAAUUGGGCCAGAGUUAUCCUCAGUUACGUUUAUUUUUGAGAAUGCUGUACAGGGGGAACUGUUUCAAGAUUACCCAAUACUGUUUAAAAAGCUAUUAUGAUUUGUAGAUCUAAUGCUGUCUGAUGACAAGAAGCAUGUGAGGGAAGGCUUUCUAAGCAGUUAAAACUUUACAUCUGUAAGAUACCGAAGAAAAUCAUUAACAAGUGGCUCUCAAUUAUAGCUCCAAAGAUUUUUGAGAAUCUGACCACUGUUGUCUCCCAUGGCGAGCUGCUGGACGUCAGAUCUUUGUAAAUGCAGUCUUCAGUUGGCAUUACAACCAUGACUCUAUAAUCUUAUGUGAAAACUAUAAUCUCCUGUUAAGUGGUGGAAAAGUCAUCUCUCUCUUCAUAACCCAAAAUGUGGCUGACUAGGUUUUUUACUCAGCACUGCACAGAAGAUCAAAGGUUUUUGGAUAGAGCUGUAUAAAUUCUGUGACAAGGCUCAAGAGGCUCUUAAAUAUUUAAGCUAUGAGUAUGUCUGUGUUUAAAGGAGACGUCGUAAACUCUGAGUGCCUUGUAGUGAAAAUAUCCUCCCCUGUGCCACGAGCAUUUCGAGUUUCAGUCCAGUGUUACAUACCCGGAUAGUAUGAACUGGUAUGUGCAGGCUGAGCCCAGAUGAGAACAUAUCCUGCAGCAGCUGCCCUGAUGCCUUAUAGCCAGCCAUAGGAUUUAGGAAUUUCAGCAGAGCGAUGCUGAGUCUUGCUCUCAAACUUCCCUUCCAAGACUACCUGAUCCAUUGAGAAGACCCACAGAGGAAGCCUUUGCUGUACCACUAGGUACUGCUGAUGGCGGUAGAGGCUCUGAAAAUGGGCAGAACAUCCCAGUGCUUUUGUCUGAGGACAAGUUGCAGGAAAGCUUCUUCAGUGCAAUGCAAAAUUAUUGAGAAUAUUCUAACCAGCGAUGAAUCUUUUCGUAAUUUAUGUUUUGCAUAUAUGAUUAAGCAGCAUUGGCCAAAAGCCUGGUGACAGCACAGGGCUCUGGAAUGUUUUCCUGUUGCCUGGGCAGUUUAUUCAUGUUAGCUUACUUCCGUGAGCUUAAUCGCUCCUUUUAAAGUCCUCCUGAACUCAGGAGUGCCGCUGCUAUUGAGCAAGCUGAAAUUAUACACGCUGCAGGGAGAAAGGUGGGGAUGUUGAGACUUAACAUCUCUUUCGGAGGAAUUGAAAAGAUUUUGCCCCAGCCCUAAUUUCUGCAUUAAAGAAAUUGAAAAUUGUCAUUGCGUGCCUUCUUCAACAGGGAAGCAGUACAUAGUUAGAAAACGUGUCAUUAAAUCUGUGAUGUCUUUGGCCUGUUAUGCCUAAAGAGCAAGAGCAGUUGGAGGAGGCUUGCUGACAAAGUGAAGUCUUCAGUCAUGGUUGCUUAUGCUCCAGAUCAGAAGUAGUGAUCAAAAGGCGUUCCCUUUCACGUCCAAGCACUUAAACUGUGUUUUAGUCAUGGUAAGGAACCUGGGUGUUGUUUAUUAAUGUAGUCACUCAAACAAAAGGCAGCACUGGAUCUUGUCCUUGAGACAGAGCUGCUGCUGAAGAGCAGAAGGUUUCAGUGCCUCAGGCCCUCGAGAAUGGAGGUAAGAUCCUUCACUUUGCAGCCCUGCAUCUGUUGCGGCAUAAGAGUUAAGGGCUAUGAUCCAGUUUUUUUGUAGACUAACAAGCUCCACCAGAAAUUGGCAUUGCCUGGGUCGAGGGGACUCCCUGCUGGCUGAGGGAGAGAUACGGAGGAUGACCAGAGGUACUGACUGCUGGCAGGAGAGCCCCGAGCCAGCACAAAUGUCUCAUGAGAAAUCUGACAUCAGGGAGUGGAAAUCAGUGCUACUUUUUCUGUAACAGAAGGCAAGAAGAGAGGGGGGAAAAAAUACCACACGUACUGCUAGGAGCAAAAGGCUCAUGAUUUUUUUAGGCAGAAAAAUCCUGCCUUAAUUACAUUUCCCCCAAGUCUCUGAUGAAAAAUGGCUGAUAAAACUUUGGAGUGCUCAGAUGUCUCUGUGAAAUCUGUGUUUGCAUUGAAAAGACUAAGAACCUUUUUAAGAAUGAAGGUGCUUUGCCUUAUUUUUGCAAGGAAUGUCUAAGCUUUGGGUGUUACUUUAAUAAAAAUAAUUCCUGAUCUUUUUAUGGAAUAUCUAAACUCUGGGCGUUACUUUAAUAAAAAUAACUUCAAACUCCAAGAUUAACAGAAUUGCUAAAAGGAAUUAGUCCUCAAUAUGAAAAACAAUAAACUAACUUUGAAAUUUCUGAACCAAGCCCUCAAAGGCAAUCUAUGGCAAAACUCCAGGAAAAAAAAUUUAAUUUUUAUAAAAUAGCUGUAUAUCUUCUUUCUCGAUUAUAUCUAGGCACUGCUUUGGAAAGUGUUUCUCUCCUUGCAGAUGCCUAGGAAUGAGUAUUUUAAGAUAAUUUGGUUUAAUUUUAAUCUAGAAGUAAAAUCAAUCUUGCAAAGGGGCUGUUCAAAUUUGGGAUUUACUGAAACUGUAGUCCGAAAAAAUACUUUCUGUUUGCAUAUCUGAUGAAGAACAUAGAUCCUGAGUCUGUGAAGGAGUAGUCCCAUUCAGUUUCUUCCAGGCUGUCAGACUUGCUGGAACUGGUUUUGGACAUCCAUGAUGUAUAAAAUGCACAUGUGGAUCUACAGCUUGCUCCUGAGAAAGACCAUGGUUUUGUUAAGAUAAUAGCAACAUUUGUCAUUUUCAUAAUGGAGUAGAACAGGUAUUUUGAAAAGACUCAGCCAAAGGAGGGCUGUAUUACUUUCUAAAAUAUCCUGUGGAUCAUCUUGGAAACAUGGUUUGUAAUAUGCUCUUGACUGACAAGGUAGGGUGCGAGGCGUAAAUUCCUGAGCAGGAAAGAUGUAUGUGGGUUGUGCAAUGGGAGACUCCAUGUGAUGUCGUUAUUUAUGGCGCUUCUCUCAGAUGUCUUUCUGGGACUCGAACAGCUGCUGUGAACUUUACCCAGCACUGAGCACUAGAUAUGUUUGAAUGACUAUUUUGUUGUUGCUUGGAUCAUGGUGAUAAGCAGUAUAGAGCCAGGUUCUGUGACACUGGUUGAAAGAAGAGAGCAGAACUGUUGCUGGGUGGUGAAAAUCUUGCAGGGGGGAAAAAAGUAAGAUUAUCAUCUUCCAUAGCUUUGGUUGGUGGACAUCAGGGAGUGAUAGUUGAAGGCAACCCAUUUCUUUUUGCUGUAAUGUGGAAGGAAGGGUGGACUGACAGAAGAGGAAGAGUUGCUUUUUCUUUUCAGAGAAAGGUCGGAAGGAUAGAGGCGGAGGUGCAGGUUUUUCACUCUUGCCUCUUUUCUCCGUGACUGUAUUGUUAAAUGGCAGCAACCAUUGUUUGCAGGAACUUUUCCUUGCUUUCGUAAAGACCUGUGGGUUGUCAUGUGUUUUGUUAUGUGGCAGUGCUGUUGUUAAACAGAUCCAAAUCUACAGUCAGAUAAGGCUCGGAAUAAUUGAUGUUUUUAGCUCAGCUAAAUAACUGAGUUCACAUGAUCUGUAAGUGGCCAGCGGGUUUUUUUAGGCAAAGUAUGUACUGCUUGUAUUAUACUUUUAUUUAAAGCUAAUUUUGUCACAACAGAUCGAGCCUUCUAGCAACCAAAAAUACCUUAGUUGAGCCCGUUAAAAAAGUCUCCCUACCCAAAGUCUGUUUCUGUGUGUGACAAACAGAAAAUACCUCUUCUUUUCGACUUCAUCGUCAGUAAUGACUCUGAAGUGGUGAAAGCAUUGCACUCUGUGCCUCUGAGAUUACUCUUGCCACUGCUGAUGGGAGAGUUGUUCUGUAUCAUUAUUGUCUUCCCUUUCAACCUCAGCACAUUCUGGAAUGCCAAAGGCAAACCACUUGCUGGCUGAUCAGAGGUCCUGGUGGUGCUGGUGUGGCAGUGCUCUGAACCUUGUGGCUUGGACCACUCUUUGAGCAUUGCCUAAGAACAUUAUAGCCAGCUCUUUACACAUGUGAGGCGGAAGAACAGGAGAGUGUUUAUGGCCUUUUGGAAACAAAGUGUCAAGAUCCUUGGUCUGAAACAGUUUCUAAGGCCACUGUAACUAUUAAACAGCAUGGAGAGGUCCUUGAGAAAUACAAGAAAGGACAAUUUUACUGCCAGUAGGAGACCUGCCACUUUAUUGACCAAUCAGUCUCUGAUACUCAAAUAGAGAAAAAUGUUGCAUGUGUUUGGAUUAUGUAAUGAGGUAACUGUUGACAAAGUGAUGCCUGUUACUAGUUCUGUUAGUGCUAUUUUGAUCAUUAAAGAACUCCAUUUGUUUCUGGACCAUAAGCUGGAACAAGCUUUUUCGCUCACCCUCUUGCUUGUCUGAAGAUUGUUCCAAAGAGAGAUGAAAUGGUGUAAUUUUCAUUUUGGUUGAGGCAAAGAAGUAUUCUCUUACCAUAACUCUCCAGUUCCAAGCCCGUAAUCACAGCAUUUGUGGUGAAACAGUGAUGACUAUGUGGUAUUUCUCACAGAUGCUGUAAAAACUCUGUCAUCUCCUUGGGAGGCCAUCUUCCCAUGAGAUACCAGCCUUUGUCUCUUUAUUUCCUGAAGAUUUUCGGACUGAGAACCUGUGGUGUGGAGUCCAAAGUUUCAGCUUCAAAGGCUUGGAGAAGAAAAUGCAGCCCACGUAAUGAUUGAAAGCAGGACUGUGUUUUGGGGAGACAAGAGGAUCCAGAAUGUCAAGUGUGUUUUAGGAGUCUCCCUUCUUGUCUGCUCCUAGCAUAGAUAUACUUUUUUUCCCACCAAACUUUUGUUGAAUGAAGGUGUGGCUUUAUACCUUGAUGCAUGUUGCACACAUUGUAUGAGCAGAAACAGCAGAGAGCACUGGAGCUUUAAUAAGUACUUGGCAUAAUAAUCAUGAUGAAUGUGCUAUGAGCUCAUCCAUAAGGAACAAAAAUAGCAACAUAGGCUAAAGUUAUUGCACAGGUGAACCUGCAGCCCACAAGAACAUCAGCCUAGAGCAAGAUGGGAUUGGUGUUGCAUGGUUGGGCCCUGUUUUUCUUCAUUCAAGCAUGGAGAUGAGAGGGCAGUUCUUCAUUCACAGAGGUUCCUGUACAACACUUAAAAAGCUGAGCAUAGUAUGCUCAUAGUCUGUUCUAAGUAAAUUUAUCAGAAUCUUGAAGGUGGGGGUUCAAAGUGCACAACAUAGAGUAAAACAUCUUGCUUUAUAAGGGUGCCAGCCCUGGAGUGGAAAACAUCAUAAAAGUGAGCUUGCAAGAUCUAGAAGAGGGUAGGGCCUGCUGAAAUCUUGGUGGAAGUGACAAAUUUCCUGCAGAUCCCAGAAAUGUAGCUUAAAGAAAUGUUGCUAGGUAUCCGAUAGAAGUUGCUCGGUUGUUGCCUUAAAGAUCCUCAGAUUGUGCUCCUGUCCUGUCGCAGGGCAUAGUGUGGUGUGGAAGUUCGUGGUGAAGCUCUUGGAAGGGGAACAGAGGUGGUUAAUGGCUAUGAUAGUUCCCAUAAUGCAGGAACAAAGGGAUAUUUAAAUGACAUAAGGCAUAAAUACACCACACAAUAUUAGCAAGGGCAAAAGUUUAGUCAGAUUCCAAGCAGACUUGGGCAUUUAAAUAUAUAAUGACAAUGUCCAGAGUUGCUGUAAAUAGGAUUAAAAAUAAAUUAAGCACAUAAACCUUCAUGCUAAUUGAUGAGGUCAGGAAGGAAUUUCCCUUUUGGGGGAAUUACCUCAUUGUUCACUACCUGAGCUGUUCCACCUUCUGAAGGCGUCUGGUCCUGAUCACAGGAGGCAGGAUUCUCAAACAAAUGCACCAGCAGUCUGACCUGUCGUGCCAGUGCUUAGCUUACUCUGCCUGGGUAGGAUCUUGUUGAAAGGGUUUGAGAAGCAUAUUGUUUCUUUCUUUUAGGUUUUUCUGGGGCAACCUGUGCUGCAGUGUAUGUCUGCUUUUCCAGAUUCCCAUUGGUGAAAAAGGACAGCUGUUGUCCAAGUGCCUUUAAUGAAUCCUGAGGAUUGCCUGCUGACAUGUCAGUAUCAGCCCACAUAGAGAUGGAAGAUGUGAUGGGCUCAUAAGGCAUUGCUGUGUUGCUCCACAGAUUCAAAGGUAGCUUUGUGAGCAGCUGAACUAGUGAAGAUAAGACUUUCCUGCAGCUUUCUUGAUUUUGGUGGCACUGCAAUUCCUUACACAUCUUUCCUUCUUUCUCUCUUUCCAUUACACAGCAGUGCUGUUAGCUUCCCUGAUUUUCCCAACAGCACAGUGCCUGAGCAGCUUCUCACUGCCUUGUAGUUAGUUCUUGGGUAUAUUUAAUCAAAACAUGCUGUCUCCCUUCUGUUUGAGAACCAGAAGUGUUGCUCAGGGGGCUGCCUUGGUUGCUUACUUUGCAAGUCUGCUGUAGGAAUUGAGCACCUCUGUAAUCUCUGUGCUUUUGCAUGAGAUUUGGUUGAAACUGACCUUGCAGUUUACAUUUCUGUGCAUGGGAUGAUCAGUGUGGUUGCCUAACCAUUGUUUCCUUGGGAAACAAGGAACACUUUCAGUCUUGCAAGCAAAUUACUGUAGAAUAUUUUUUCUCUCAAAGCAAUUAGGUGCAUGAAGAGUUACACCAAAAAUUGAGGCGUGUGUACUUUUAAAACAUGCACUGUUUAAUCUUUUAAGAUUUUCCCCAAGGUAUAAGGGGAAGGCUUCCUUGCCAAAAUACUGUAAUUGAGUUAACAUUCUGGGAGGUUUCUGUGUUUUGUUACUGAGCUACAAAGCUUCAGAACUUCUGUUACUGAGCUUCUGCUGGUGUUGGAAGGAAGAAAGAUCAAAGUUAGAAGUACCAGCCUGCCAGUAAAUUGUCUCUUCAAAAGAAAACUGAAAAUUCCUUGGUUGUUUCAGGUGGCAGCCAGCAUCAGAUCUUUUUGACAAUUAUUAGCCUUUUCCUGCAGUUCUCUUUCUGCAUGAGCAGUGAGAGCAGCCUGGAUGUUUUGUAGUCUGUAUGGUGUGUAUGCUGACUGUAGACAUCUGAUUAACAAGUGAUGCUGUCAAUAAUAGAUUGAAUUUGUCCUCAGUUACUUUCUGCUGCUCAGGGAAAAUGUGGAGUUAUAAUGCCUAUGGAACAGUAAAGUUAUGGUUUCUGUCUCUUGUAUAUAGUGAUCAUCACGAUAAAAGAUUAAUAAUCACUGUGGUCUAAAAUAAUUGGAUAGUAUAUAUAUUAUAAAAUAAUUCUGAAUGUCCUGACAGCUGGAUGUUUGUGGCUUCCUCAGCUUUAGUGCUUUUGAAAACUUUUAAGCGCUUGAAAUCUGUGAUAGUUACCUUUCCUGAGUAGGCAGUAGCACGUCGCAGUAGCAGGCAUGAUCACUCAGGGCAUGAGCUCUCAGGAUGGUUUGCCUUCUAAGCACUUUUGAGGGUAAGAACUUCAUCAAGAGUUCAGAAAUGGGGGAAUGUAGUCAUUGACAUGUAGUCCCAGCACAGCAAAUACAUUUCUGUCCAGUUACUUAAAAGCUGUUUUUUUUGCAAUGCCCAGAGCACUCUCAGAGGGCUUCUUGCUUUGACUAAGGCUCAGUUAUCUUCUCAAUUGUGAUGUGCAAGAAGCAAAGCCAAAACUUUGUGCUCUGGUGGGACUCUGUCCCUACAGCUGUCCCUCACAUCUGCUGUAAAAAAGCAAAAAUGAGCCUGGAUUCACUGGGGGGAGUUAGGGAAAGGACUAAGCUGUCUUUCUGAUUUAUGCAUAUGGAGCAUGCUGCUGUCAAGUGUUUUUUUAGAAUAAAGAAGGAUUUUAGAUGGGAUGUGGAAUUCUGAGAAGUUUAGGUGGUAGCUGAUAAGAUGUAGGGUCUGCUCUGCUUCUGGUACAAAGAUUCUUUGACACUAAUGUUUAUUUAAGGGUGGCCUUAACCCUAAAAGGGAGAGAUAAAAUUGCUAUCAUGCUUCUGUUUCACUGAGAGCUGGCUUGCAGAAUGGUUUUGGUGUCUGCUUAUCUGCCCUGAAGGCUUCGUGGCUGGGGAGGCUGCAGAAAUAAUUCUCCUGUACCCCCUCAUUCAGAAUUCAGGCAAAACUGUAAGGCAGGCAGAUGGUUUAAGCUGCAUCUUUGGACACAAGACGGCUGUGUCUCCAUUUUGCAGAUGAGUCAUCCCUUUGCUGUUUUGUUGUUAGACUCUAAACAGUGCUGCUCUUGGCUUUGGGCCUGCCUCAUCCCAAGUUUUGGAUGGCAGAAACAGAUAGGUGUCAUGAUGAGGAGCUUCUCAGAAACAGAAGUGGAUGAUGAGUGGAGAUGAAGAAAUCAUACAUUUAAGAAGUUGGCUCAAGUUUCCGUUACAGGCAUGGAAAGUUUCUGAGACCAAGCCAUGCGAGAAGAACAUGAGUAAAGAAGAGGGAGAUGUAGACCCAGACUUUCUAGAAGGGAUUGCAGGAUUUGAGAGGACGCUGCACAGACGUCACGUAGUUUUCUUGCUUAUUCAUUUACCUGCACCCCUGAACUGUAAUACUUUGUUUGCAUGUCUGUUUGGAAGUUGAAAAAUCCCCUCACAUCUGUGUCUUUAAUAUAAUCAUGGCUUCAAGCUUGUUUUAGGAAGAGCAGAACUUCUCUGUAGUUUUUAUUUGUGGAUGAGAUAGCUGCUGCUUUGUACUUGCAAUCAAUUCGGGUGUUUUUUUGUUGAAACAUACAUUGAAUAUGGAAAAGCUCAGGCCAUUACAGAAUAGGUAGUUAGGGGUUUUGCUUACAUUUAAUAAACAGCCUUUGCAUAGAAAGUAUGACGACAGGUGCAUAGGUAAAAGAAAAAAAAAGUAGUGCUAGCCCUCUAAUUUGAGUAACCUUAUAAUGUAUUGUUCUUACGGUGUCCUUAGACAGACGUCAGAAUCAAAUAUUAAUCAAUUUUAUCUUUUCUAUCUGACUGUUGGUCAGAAAAAUGUUCUAGAUAAGAUUCCUUGCCAGGGUUGUGGGGUUAUAAGUGCAGGUUACUUAGUCUUGAGUUAGGAGAGAGCUUUUUGGAGAGAUAGUUUUUUGAACAUCUUGGCUGUUCUGUGAAGUUAUCUCGGAGGAAAUACUAGCCAUGCAGUCCAACAACUUAAUGAUGCUGUGAGCAGACUUGAUUGUAGUAAGUCUCUGAUACAAAAUUAUUAAGACUUUGACGUAUAUGUAUUUAAAAUUUUAAAAGUAAAUGUAUUUUCCUGUAUUGAAAAGUAUUUCUGGUAGAGGCAGGCUAAGAACAUCUUUAUUUUUCUUAUGAACUCCUAUCUGGUGUCUUAUCCUUAAUAAAAGGCUAUGGUUAUUUUUGUAUACUGCCUGAAUAUUUGGCCUUUAAGAGUAUAUAAUUAGAUGGAAGAGUAAAAGCAGUUGUUAAAGGACUGUUUUUUUAAUGAAAAUAGUUUGAAAUCAUAUAAUUUUAGUUUAUUCCAAAUAGAUGUGAUUAGUGUGUUGGAAAUAGUUUUACAGUGGAUAUAAGGGGAACAGUUGAGAGACAGUGGCUAAGAAUGUGUCCAGCUAUUUUUGUAGCUAACCGUUAUAUUUUUUCAGUCUCUUUACUUAGAUAUUUCCAUAUAAUCGAACUGCUACAUCACAAUGGGAUACAAAAACUAUUUGCACUUUAUAAUAUUUGCAUUUUAAAAUAGGUUUUAUUGUACUAAUUGAUAAGUAAAUUGCAAUGACUGUGAGAAAAUCCUAGCCUAUUUUAUUACUUUGAUAGAAAUUUGAAUAUGGGAUAGUAUUGUCUGUAUCUAUAAGAAUGUUUUCAUGGAUUAUUAGCUGCUGAAACUGAAAUCAAUAAACUUUAGCUACUGUUGUUGACUGGAACAAGUAAAUCUGCACAUUUGUUUUCUUCAUGUUACCUGUACCUCUGUGUUCACCUAGUAUUUCUCCCAGCAUUACUCCUUUCAUGGUGUUUGCCCAUGAGACACACUCAGUGUGGGUUCCUGCAUGUUCUUGUGGAAGACUUUAUCGAUGGAGAACUGUGCAUUUGAGUUUGUGCAAUUACUCUGUUAUCUGAAUAAACCUCAGAUAAUUUCAGUCAAAA